CGGCGUGCUUAACACAUGCAAGUCGAACGCGAAGGGACUUCGGUCCUGAGUAAAGUGGCGCACGGGUGAGUAACGCGUGGAUAAUCUGCCCUUAUGAUCGGGAUAACAGUUGGAAACGGCUGCUAAUACCGGAUACGCUCAAAAUGAACUUUUUGAGGAAAGAUGGCCUCUGCUUGCAUGCUAUCACGUAAGGAUGAGUCCGCGUCCCAUUAGCUUGUUGGCGGGGUAACGGCCCACCAAGGCAACGAUGGGUAGCCGAUUUGAGAGGAUGAUCGGCCACACUGGAACUGAAACACGGUCCAGACUCCUACGGGAGGCAGCAGUGGGGAAUAUUGCGCAAUGGGCGAAAGCCUGACGCAGCGACGCCGCGUGAAGGGAUGAAGGUUUUCGGAUCGUAAACCUCUGUCAGAAGGGAAGAAACUACGUUGUGCUAAUCAGCAGCGUACUGACGGUACCUUCAAAGGAAGCACCGGCUAACUCCGUGCCAGCAGCGGC
RNAcentral lists this ribosomal RNA (495 nucleotides) under uncultured bacterium. RNAcentral describes it as "bacterial SSU rRNA". It matches the Rfam family "Bacterial small subunit ribosomal RNA", at positions 40 to 518 of the family's 1533-position model. The record is from RNAcentral.